RNAcentral lists this ribosomal RNA (311 nucleotides) under uncultured bacterium. RNAcentral describes it as "bacterial SSU rRNA". It matches the Rfam family "Bacterial small subunit ribosomal RNA", at positions 28 to 334 of the family's 1533-position model. The record is from RNAcentral.
GACGAACGCUGGCGGCGCGCCUAACACAUGCAAGUCGAACGAGCCGAGGAGAGCUUGCUCUCCAGAGCUAGUGGCGGACGGGUGAGUAACACGUGAGCAACCUGCCUUUCAGAGGGGGAUAACGUUUGGAAACGAACGCUAAUACCGCAUGAUAUAUUGAGGCCACAUGGUUUUGAUAUCAAAGGAGCAAUCCGCUGAAAGAUGGGCUCGCGUCCGAUUAGCUAGUUGGUGAGGUAACGGCCCACCAAGGCGACGAUCGGUAGCCGGACUGAGAGGUUGAUCGGCCACAUUGGGACUGAGACACGGCCCAG